This 352-nucleotide ribosomal RNA is filed under the name uncultured bacterium. RNAcentral's name for it is "bacterial SSU rRNA". It matches the Rfam family "Bacterial small subunit ribosomal RNA", at positions 527 to 881 of the family's 1533-position model. The record is from RNAcentral.
GGAGGAUCCGAGCGUUAUCCGGAUUUAUUGGGUUUAAAGGGAGCGUAGAUGGAUGUUUAAGUCAGUUGUGAAAGUUUGCGGCUCAACCGUAAAAUUGCAGUUGAUACUGGAUGUCUUGAGUGCAGUUGAGGCAGGCGGAAUUCGUGGUGUAGCGGUGAAAUGCAUAGAUAUCACGCAGAACCCCGAUUGCGAAGGCAGCCUGCUAGGGUGCGACAGACGCUGAGGCACGAAAGCGUGGGUAUCGAACAGGAUUAGAUACCCUGGUAGUCCACGCAGUAAACGAUGAAUACUAACUGUUUGCGAUACAAUGUAAGCGGUACAGCGAAAGCGUUAAGUAUUCCACCUGGGGAGU